GGGCCCCUAGCUCAGUCGGUGGAGCAGCGGACUUUUAAUCCGUUGGUCGUGGGUUCGAACCCCACGGGGCCUA
RNAcentral lists this transfer RNA (73 nucleotides) under Myxococcales bacterium. RNAcentral describes it as "tRNA-Lys". It matches the Rfam family "tRNA". From Rfam's summary of the family: Transfer RNA (tRNA) molecules are approximately 80 nucleotides in length. Their secondary structure includes four short double-helical elements and three loops (D, anti-codon, and T loops). Further hydrogen bonds mediate the characteristic L-shaped molecular structure. tRNAs have two regions of fundamental functional importance: the anti-codon, which is responsible for specific mRNA codon recognition, and the 3' end, to which the tRNAs corresponding amino acid is attached (by aminoacyl-tRNA synthetases). tRNAs cope with the degeneracy of the genetic code in two manners: having more than one tRNA (with a specific anti-codon) for a particular amino acid; and 'wobble' base-pairing, i.e. permitting non-standard base-pairing at the 3rd anti-codon position. The record is from RNAcentral. Lineage: Bacteria; Pseudomonadati; Myxococcota; Myxococcia; Myxococcales.